Molecule: non-coding RNA, 24 nt
Filed under: Danio rerio (zebrafish)
Lineage: Eukaryota; Metazoa; Chordata; Actinopteri; Cypriniformes; Danionidae
Also listed under: 2 other names
Source: RNAcentral
GCAAUGGAUAGCGCAUUGGACUUC